ACUGCCUGAUGGAGGGGGAUAACUACUGAAAACGAUAGCUAAUACCGCAUAACGUCGCAAACCCAAAGAGGGGGACCUUCGGGCCUCUUGCCAUCGGAUGUGCCCAGAUGGGAUUAGCUAGUAGGUGGGGUAACGGCUCACCUAGGCGACGAUCCCUAGCUGGUCUGAGAGGAUGACCAGCCACACUGGAACUGAGACACGGUCCAGACUCCUACGGGAGGCAGCAGUGGGGAAUAUUGCACAAUGGGCGCAAGCCUGAUGCAGCCAUGCCGCGUGUAUGAAGAAGGCCUUCGGGUUGUAAAGUACUUUCAGCGGGGAGGAAGGGAGUAAAGUUAAUACCUUUGCUCAUUGACGUUACCCGCAGAAGAAGCACCGGCUAACUCCGUGCCAGCAGCCGCGGUAAUACGGAGGGUGCAAGCGUUAAUCGGGAUUACUGGGCGUAAAGCGCACGCAGGCGGUUUGUUAAGUCAGAUGUGAAAUCCCCGGGCUCAACCUGGGAACUGCAUCUGAUACUGGCAAGCUUGAGUCUCGUAGAGGGGGGUAGAAUUCCAGGUGUAGCGGUGAAAUGCGUAGAGAUCUGGAGGAAUACCGGUGGCGAAGGCGGCCCCCUG
This 611-nucleotide ribosomal RNA is filed under the name uncultured bacterium. RNAcentral describes it as "bacterial SSU rRNA". It matches the Rfam family "Bacterial small subunit ribosomal RNA", at positions 125 to 731 of the family's 1533-position model. The record is from RNAcentral.